RNAcentral lists this ribosomal RNA (497 nucleotides) under uncultured bacterium. Its description in RNAcentral is "partial 16S ribosomal RNA". It matches the Rfam family "Bacterial small subunit ribosomal RNA", at positions 28 to 507 of the family's 1533-position model. The record is from RNAcentral.
GAUGAACGCUGGCGGCGUGCCUAAUACAUGCAAGUCGAGCGAACGGACGAGAAGCUUGCUUCUCUGAUGUUAGCGGCGGACGGGUGAGUAACACGUGGAUAACCUACCUAUAAGACUGGGAUAACUUCGGGAAACCGGAGCUAAUACCGGAUAAUAUUUUGAACCGCAUGGUUCAAAAGUGAAAGACGGUCUUGCUGUCACUUAUAGAUGGAUCCGCGCUGCAUUAGCUAGUUGGUAAGGUAACGGCUUACCAAGGCAACGAUGCGUAGCCGACCUGAGAGGGUGAUCGGCCACACUGGAACUGAGACACGGUCCAGACUCCUACGGGAGGCAGCAGUAGGGAAUCUUCCGCAAUGGGCGAAAGCCUGACGGAGCAACGCCGCGUGAGUGAUGAAGGUCUUCGGAUCGUAAAACUCUGUUAUUAGGGAAGAACAAAUGUGUAAGUAACUAUGCACGUCUUGACGGUACCUAAUCAGAAAGCCACGGCUAACUACGUG